GGGCCCGCACAAGCGGUGGAGCAUGUGGUUUAAUUCGAUGAUACGCGAGGAACCUUACCAAGGCUUAAAUGUAGAGGGACAGGCGGCGAAAGUUGCCCUUCUUCGGACUCUCUACAAGGUGCUGCAUGGUUGUCGUCAGCUCGUGCCGUGAGGUGUCGGGUUAAGUCCCAUAACGAGCGCAACCCCUAUCUUUAGUUGCCAGCGGUUCGGCCGGGGACUCUAAAGAAACUGCCCGCGCAAGCGGUGAGGAAGGUGGGGAUGACGUCAAAUCAUCACGGCCCUUACGUCUUGGGCUACACACGUGCUACAAUGGUAGUGACAAUGGGCAGCCACUCCGCGAGUAGGAGCGAAUCUUCAAAACCGGUCUCAGUUCGGAUCGGAGUCUGCAACUCGACUCCGUG
RNAcentral lists this ribosomal RNA (401 nucleotides) under uncultured bacterium. RNAcentral's name for it is "bacterial SSU rRNA". It matches the Rfam family "Bacterial small subunit ribosomal RNA", at positions 917 to 1322 of the family's 1533-position model. The record is from RNAcentral.